RNAcentral lists this ribosomal RNA (460 nucleotides) under uncultured bacterium. RNAcentral describes it as "partial 16S ribosomal RNA". It matches the Rfam family "Bacterial small subunit ribosomal RNA", at positions 338 to 795 of the family's 1533-position model. The record is from RNAcentral.
CCUACGGGAGGCAGCAGUGAUGAAUAUUGGUCAAUGGACUAGAGUCUGAACCAGCCAAGUAGCGUGAAGGAUGACUGCCCUAUGGGUUGUAAACUUCUUUUAUAAAGGAAUAAAACGAGGCACGUGUGCCUUUUUGCAUGUACUUUAUGAAUAAGGAUCGGCUAACUCCGUGCAAGCAGCCGCGGUAAUACGGAGGAUCCGAGCGUUAUCCGGAUUUAUUGGGUUUAAAGGGAGCGUAGAUGGGUUGUUAAGUCAGUUGUGAAAGUUUGCGGCUCAACCGUAAAAUUGCAAUUGAUACUGGCAGUCUUGAGUACAGUUGAGGUAGGCGGAAUUCGUGGUGUAGCGGUGAAAUGCUUAGAUAUCACGAAGAACCCCGAUUGCGAAGGCAGCUUACCAAACUGUGACUGACAUUGAUGCUCGAAAGUGUGGGUAUCAAACAGGAUUAGAUACCCGUGUAGUC